Molecule: transfer RNA, 73 nt
Organism: Ardenticatena maritima
Lineage: Bacteria; Bacillati; Chloroflexota; Ardenticatenia; Ardenticatenales; Ardenticatenaceae
Rfam family: tRNA
About the family: Transfer RNA (tRNA) molecules are approximately 80 nucleotides in length. Their secondary structure includes four short double-helical elements and three loops (D, anti-codon, and T loops). Further hydrogen bonds mediate the characteristic L-shaped molecular structure. tRNAs have two regions of fundamental functional importance: the anti-codon, which is responsible for specific mRNA codon recognition, and the 3' end, to which the tRNAs corresponding amino acid is attached (by aminoacyl-tRNA synthetases). tRNAs cope with the degeneracy of the genetic code in two manners: having more than one tRNA (with a specific anti-codon) for a particular amino acid; and 'wobble' base-pairing, i.e. permitting non-standard base-pairing at the 3rd anti-codon position.
Source: Rfam
GCCCACGUAGCUCAGUCGGUAGAGCACGUUCUUGGUAAGAACGAGGUCACGGGUUCAAGUCCCGUCGUGGGCU